RNAcentral lists this ribosomal RNA (253 nucleotides) under uncultured bacterium. RNAcentral describes it as "partial 16S ribosomal RNA". It matches the Rfam family "Bacterial small subunit ribosomal RNA", at positions 524 to 776 of the family's 1533-position model. The record is from RNAcentral.
UACGUAGGGGGCUAGCGUUGUCCGGAAUCAUUGGGCGUAAAGCGCGCGUAGGCGGCCCGGUAAGUCCGUUGUGAAAGUCAAAGGCUCAACCUUUGAACGCCGAUGGAUACUGCCGGGCUAGGGUCCGGAAGAGGCGAGAGGAAUUCCUGGUGUAGCGGUGGAAUGCGCAGAUAUCAGGAGGAACACCAAUAGCGAAGGCAGCUCGCUGGGACGGUACUGACGCUGAGGCGCGAAAGCGUGGGGAGCGAACAGG